RNAcentral lists this small nuclear RNA (110 nucleotides) under Corchorus capsularis. Lineage: Eukaryota; Viridiplantae; Streptophyta; Magnoliopsida; Malvales; Malvaceae. The record is from RNAcentral.
AUAACAAGAUUUAUUGAUAUAUCCCAUAAAAUUUGAAGGAUACAUAUAAGAUUAGCAUGCCCCUCGGCAAGGAUAUUGAGGCGCACAACUGAGAAAAAAGAAAAGUUUUA